GACAGAGGGUGCAAACGUUGCUCGGAAUCACUGGGCGUAAAGGGCGUGUAGGCGGGCAUGCAAGUCAGGCGUGAAAUCCCUGGGCUCAACCCAGGAAUUGCACUUGAAACUGCAUGUCUUGAGUAUCGGAGAGGGAAGCGGAAUUCCUGGUGUAGAGGUGAAAUUCGUAGAUAUCAGGAGGAACACCGGUGGCGAAGGCGGCUUUCUGGGCGAUAACUGACGCUGAGACGCGAAAGCGUGGGGAGCAAACAGG
Molecule: ribosomal RNA, 253 nt
Filed under: uncultured bacterium
Lineage: Bacteria
Description: partial 16S ribosomal RNA
Rfam family: Bacterial small subunit ribosomal RNA
Source: RNAcentral